AGGGUGACAGCCCCGUACACAAAAGCGCAUGUGCUGUGAGCUCGAUGAGUAGGGCGGGACACGUGGUAUCCUGUCUGAAUAUGGGGGGACCAUCCUCCAAGGCUAAAUACUCCUGACUGACCGAUAGUGAACCAGUACCGUGAGGGAAAGGCGAAAAGAACCCCGGCGAGGGGAGUGAAAAAGAACCUGAAACCGUGUACGUACAAGCAGUGGGAGCACCCUUCGGGGUGUGACUGCGUACCUUUUGUAUAAUGGGUCAGCGACUUAUAUUCUGUAGCAAGGUUAACCGUAUAGGGGAGCCGCAGGGAAACCGAGUCUUAAUUGGGCGUUAAGUUGCAGGGUAUAGACCCGAAACCCGGUGAUCUAGCCAUGGGCAGGUUGAAGGUUGGGUAACACUAACUGGAGGACCGAACCGACUAAUGUUGAAAAAUUAGCGGAUGACCUGUGGCUGGGGGUGAAAGGCCAAUCAAACCGGGAGAUAGCUGGUUCUCCCCGAAAGCUAUUUAGGUAGCGCCUCGUGAAUUCAUCUCCGGGGGUAGAGCACUGUUUCGGCUAGGGGGCCAUCCCGGCUUACCAACCCGAUGCAAACUGCGAAUACCGGAGAAUGUUAUCACGGGAGACACACGGCGGGUGCUAACGUCCGUCGUGAAGAGGGAAACAACCCAGACCGCCAGCUAAGGUCCCAAAGUCAUGGUUAAGUGGGAAACGAUGUGGGAAGGCCCAGACAGCCAGGAUGUUGGCUUAGAAGCAGCCAUCAUUUAAAGAAAGCGUAAUAGCUCACUGGUCGAGUCGGCCUGCGCGGAAGAUGUAACGGGGCUAAACCAUGCACCGAAGCUGCGGCAGCGAACGUAUCACUUAAAGCGAUUCAGCGGGUUACGAUUGACGGAGCGAAGCGACGUCAAAGCGUAUACAAAGUCGAGUCGGUUUAAGGAUACGUUCGUUGGGUAGGGGAGCGUUCUGUAAGCCUGUGAAGGUGUGUCGUGAGGCAUGCUGGAGGUAUCAGAAGUGCGAAUGCUGACAUAAGUAACGAUAAAGCGGGUGAAAAGCCCGCUCGCCGGAAGACCAAGGGUUCCUGUCCAACGUUAAUCGGGGCAGGGUGAGUCGACCCCUAAGGCGAGGCCGAAAGGCGUAGUCGAUGGGAAACGGGUUAAUAUUCCCGUACUUGGUGUUACUGCGAAGGGGGGACGGAGAAGGCUAUGUUGGCCGGGCGACGGUUGUCCCGGUUUAAGCGUGUAGGUGUGUGUUCCAGGUAAAUCCGGUUCACUUUAACACUGAGGCGUGAUGACGAGGCACUACGGUGCUGAAGCAACAAAUGCCCUGCUUCCAGGAAAAGCCUCUAAGCAUCAGGUAACAUCAAAUCGUACCCCAAACCGACACAGGUGGUCAGGUAGAGAAUACCAAGGCGCUUGAGAGAACUCGGGUGAAGGAACUAGGCAAAAUGGUGCCGUAACUUCGGGAGAAGGCACGCUGACAUGUAGGUGAAGUGAUUUACUCAUGGAGCUGAAGUCAGUCGAAGAUACCAGCUGGCUGCAACUGUUUAUUAAAAACACAGCACUGUGCAAACACGAAAGUGGACGUAUACGGUGUGACGCCUGCCCGGUGCCGGAAGGUUAAUUGAUGGGGUCAGCGCAAGCGAAGCUCCUGAUCGAAGCCCCGGUAAACGGCGGCCGUAACUAUAACGGUCCUAAGGUAGCGAAAUUCCUUGUCGGGUAAGUUCCGACCUGCACGAAUGGCGUAAUGAUGGCCAGGCUGUCUCCACCCGAGACUCAGUGAAAUUGAACUCGCUGUGAAGAUGCAGUGUACCCGCGGCAAGACGGAAAGACCCCGUGAACCUUUACUAUAGCUUGACACUGAACAUUGAGCCUUGAUGUGUAG
RNAcentral lists this ribosomal RNA (1875 nucleotides) under Salmonella enterica subsp. enterica. RNAcentral describes it as "partial 23S ribosomal RNA". It matches the Rfam family "Bacterial large subunit ribosomal RNA", at positions 361 to 2141 of the family's 2925-position model. Lineage: Bacteria; Pseudomonadati; Pseudomonadota; Gammaproteobacteria; Enterobacterales; Enterobacteriaceae. The record is from RNAcentral.